Molecule: ribosomal RNA, 468 nt
Filed under: uncultured bacterium
Lineage: Bacteria
Description: partial 16S ribosomal RNA
Rfam family: Bacterial small subunit ribosomal RNA
Source: RNAcentral
GACGAACGCUGGCGGCGUGCUUAACACAUGCAAGUCGAACGGAAAGGCCCUGCUUUUGUGGGGUGCUCGAGUGGCGAACGGGUGAGUAACACGUGAGUAACCUGCUCUUGACUUUGUGAUAACUUCAGGAAACUGGGGCUAAUACCGGAUAGGAGCUCCUGCUGCAUGGUGGGGGGUGGAAAGUUUCGGCGGUUGGGGAUGGACUCGCGGCUUAUCAGCUUGUUGGUGGGGUUGUGGCUUACCAAGGCUUUGACGGGUAGCCGGCCUGAGAGGGUGACCGGCCACAUUGGGACUGAGAUACGGCCCAGAGUCCUACGGGAGGCAGCAGUGGGGAAUAUUGCACAAUGGGCGGAAGCCUGAUGCAGCAACGCCGCGUGCGGGAUGACGGCCUUCGGGUUGUAAACCGCUUUCGCCUGUGACGAAGCGUGAGUGACGGUAAUGGGUAAAGAAGCACCGGCUAACUACGUG